UGAAACAGCUACCACAAACAUACAGAGCCGACAUCAGGUGUAUUAACCCACAACGCCAAGCAACAGCCACACCCCCACGGGUCUACAGCAGUACUUAAUAUUAGGCUAUAAGCGAAAGCUUGACCUAAUAAUGGGAUUAACGAGGGCCGGUUAAUCUCGUGCCAGCGACCGCGGUUACACGACAGACCCAAGAUAACGCAAUCGGCGUAAAGCACGACUAAAAAUCAGUCACCAAAUUAGGACUAAUAAUAAACUGGGCUGUAAAAAGCCAUAAGCCACACAAAUCACAACUCCUAACAACAAACCCCUUCAACUCGUGAAAGCAAGGAAACAAACUAAGAUUAGAUACCUUACUAUGCCCUGCCGUAACACAGUAAUCAAAUAACCAAUUACUCGCCAAAUAACUACGAGUAAAAACUUAAAAUUUAAAAGACUUGACGGUACUUCACACCAGCCUAGAGGAGCCUGUCCAAUAACCGAUAACCCACGAUUAACCCAACCUACCUUUGCCAAACAGUCUAUAUACCGCCGUCGCCAGCUUACCCUGUGAAAGAAACAAAGCAAGCCAAAUAGUAUCGCACUAACACGACAGGUCAAGGUGUAACUUAUAGGCAGGUCAAAGAUGGGCUACACUUUCUUAACUAGAAAAAACGAAUAUAACAUGAAACAACAACCUGAAGGAGGAUUUAGCAGUAAGAUGGAGACAGAAUACCCAUCUGAAACAUGCAAUGAAGUGCGUACACACCGCCCGUCAUCCCUGUAAAAUACCACAAAUAUCUAUAAACACACAUUCACCACUAAAGCA
This 805-nucleotide ribosomal RNA is filed under the name Brachyorrhos albus. Its description in RNAcentral is "partial 12S ribosomal RNA". The record is from RNAcentral. Lineage: Eukaryota; Metazoa; Chordata; Lepidosauria; Squamata; Homalopsidae.